GUCGAACGAGAAAGUGGGGCAACCCAUGAGUACAGUGGCGUACGGGUGAGUAACACGUGGAUGAUCUGCCUUCUGGUGAGGAAUAACCCUGGGAAACCGGGGCUAAUACCGCAUAAGCCCGAGAGGGGAAAGUCGCAAGACGCCGGAAGAGGAGUCCGCGGCCGAUUAGCUAGUUGGCAGGGUAAAAGCCUACCAAGGCGAAGAUCGGUAGCCGGCCUGAGAGGGCACACGGCCACACUGGCACUGAAACACGGGCCAGACUCCUACGGGAGGCAGCAGUGGGGAAUCUUGCACAAUGGGGGAAACCCUGAUGCAGCGACGCCGCGUGAGCGAUGAAGCCCUUCGGGGUGUAAAGCUCUUUCGGCAGGGAAGAUGAUGACGGUACCUGCAGAAGCAGCUGCGGCUAACUACGUGCCAGCAGCCGCGGUAAUACGUAGGCAGCAAGCGUUGUUCGGAGUUACUGGGCGUAAAGGGUGUGUAGGCGGUUGCUUAAGUUUGGUGUGAAAUCUCCCGGCUCAACUGGGAGGGUGCGCCGAAUACUGAGUGACUCGAGUGCGGGAGAGGAGAGUGGAAUUCCUGGUGUAGCGGUGAAAUGCGUAGAUAUCAGGAGGAACACCGGUGGUGUAGACGGCUCUCUGGACCGUAACUGACGCUGAGACACGAAAGCGUGGGUAGCAAACAGGAUUAGAUACCCUGGUAGUCCACGCCCUAAACGAUGCAUAUUUGGUGUG
This 731-nucleotide ribosomal RNA is filed under the name uncultured Acidobacteriota bacterium. Its description in RNAcentral is "bacterial SSU rRNA". It matches the Rfam family "Bacterial small subunit ribosomal RNA", at positions 61 to 824 of the family's 1533-position model. Lineage: Bacteria; Pseudomonadati; Acidobacteriota. The record is from RNAcentral.